This 465-nucleotide ribosomal RNA is filed under the name uncultured bacterium. RNAcentral describes it as "partial 16S ribosomal RNA". It matches the Rfam family "Bacterial small subunit ribosomal RNA", at positions 28 to 507 of the family's 1533-position model. The record is from RNAcentral.
GACGAACGCUGGCGGCGUGCUUAACACAUGCAAGUCGUACGGGAAGGCCCUUUCGGGGGUCCCCGAGUGGCGAACGGGUGGGUAACACGUGCGUAACCUGCCCACAACUUUGGGAUAACGCUAGGAAACUGGGGCUAAUACUGGAUAUGUAAUCCUGCUGCAUGGUGGGGGGUGGAAAGCUGCGGCGGUUGUGGGUGGACUCGAGGCCGAUCAGAGUGGUGGUGGGGUAGUGGUCUACCAAGGCGGCGACGGGUAGCCGGCCUGAGAGGGUGACCGGCCACAGUGGGACUGGGAUACGGACCCGACCCCUACGGGAAGCAGAAGUGGGGAAGAGUGCAAUAGGGGCGCAAGCCAGAUGCAGCACCGGCGCGUGCGGGUGGAUGGUGUUGGCGUUGUAAUCCGCUUUCAGCAUGGACCAGGCUGUUAGUGACAGUACCGGCAGAAUAAGCACCGGCUAACUACGUG